CUGGAUUGUAGACAUCAAACCUUGGAGCCAGAGCUGGACGUAUCCAACAGACAUGGACCCCAGACCUGAAGCUGGACUCAUCCAGACCUUGAACUCCAGGCACCAGGUACUGAGGCUUCGUAGAGAAGGUGGGACAUGCUUCUGUACCAUCUUGACCUCCGUAUCUCCCCCAGGAAGCGUGGAC
Hipposideros armiger (great roundleaf bat) is the source of this 184-nucleotide long non-coding RNA. RefSeq lists it as uncharacterized. Lineage: Eukaryota; Metazoa; Chordata; Mammalia; Chiroptera; Hipposideridae. The transcript is spliced from 2 exons. The record is from RefSeq and is a predicted model, not a curated record.